CCUACGGGGGGCAGCCGUGAGGAAUAUUGGUCAAUGGACGAGAGUCUGAACCAGCCAAGUAGCGUGAAGGAUGACUGCCCUAUGGGUUGUAAACUUCUUUUAUAUGGGAAUAAAGUGUUCCACGUGUGGCUUUUUGUAUGUACCAUAUGAAUAAGGAUCGGCUAACUCCGUGCCAGCAGCCGCGGUAAUACGGAGGAUCCGAGCGUUAUCCGGAUUUAUUGGGUUUAAAGGGAGCGUAGAUGGAUUGUUAAGUCAGUUGUGAAAGUUUGCGGCUCAACCGUAAAAUUGCAUUUGAGACUGGCAGUCUUGAGUACAGUUGAGGUAGGCGGAAUUCGUGGUGUAGCGGGGAAAUGCUUAGAUAUCACGAAGAACUCCGAUUGCGAAGGCAGCUUACUAGACUGCAACUGACACUGAGGCUCGAAAGUGUGGGUAUCAAACAGGAUUAGAUACCCGGGUAGUC
This 460-nucleotide ribosomal RNA is filed under the name uncultured bacterium. RNAcentral describes it as "partial 16S ribosomal RNA". It matches the Rfam family "Bacterial small subunit ribosomal RNA", at positions 338 to 795 of the family's 1533-position model. The record is from RNAcentral.